CCUACGGGUGACAGCAGUGAGGAAUAUUGGUCAAUGGUCGAGAGCCUGAACCAGCCAAGCCGCGUGAAGGAUGAAUGCUCUGUGGAUUGUAAACUUCUUUUGUCAGGGAAUAAAAAGUGGCACGAGUCCCCGUAUGCAUGUACCUUAAGAACAAGGAUCGGCUAACUCCGUGCCAGCAGCCGCGGUAAUACGGCGGAUGCGAGCGUUAUCCGGAUUUAUUGGGUUUAAAGGGAGCGCAGGCGGGGUGGUAAGUCAGUUGUGAAAGUCAGGGGCUCAACCCCGGGAUUGCAGUUGAAACUGGCAUUCUUGAGGAGGGGAGAGGUAGGCGGAAUUCGUGGUGUAGCGGUGAAAUGCGUAGAUAUCACGAAGAACUCCGAUUGCGAAGGCAGCCUGCUGGACCGAAACUGACGCUGAGGCACGAAAGCGUGGGUAUCAAACAGGAUUAGAUACCCCUGUAGUC
RNAcentral lists this ribosomal RNA (460 nucleotides) under uncultured bacterium. RNAcentral describes it as "partial 16S ribosomal RNA". It matches the Rfam family "Bacterial small subunit ribosomal RNA", at positions 338 to 795 of the family's 1533-position model. The record is from RNAcentral.